Molecule: unclassified non-coding RNA, 343 nt
Filed under: soil metagenome
Description: partial contains 5.8S ribosomal RNA, internal transcribed spacer 2, and large subunit ribosomal RNA
Rfam family: 5.8S ribosomal RNA (bases 1-120)
Source: RNAcentral
GAUGAAGAACGUAGCGAAAUGCGAUAAGUAAUGUGAAUUGCAGAAUUCAGUGAAUCAUCGAAUCUUUGAACGCACAUUGCGCCCGCUAGUAUUCUGGCGGGCAUGCCUGUCCGAGCGUCAUUUCAACCCUCAAGCCCCCGGGCUUGGUGUUGGGGAUCGGCGAGCCUCCGCGCCCGCCGUCCCCUAAAUCUAGUGGCGGUCUCGCUGUAGCUUCCUCUGCGUAGUAGCACACCUCGCACUGGGAAACAGCGCGGCCACGCCGUUAAGCCCCCAACUUCUGAACGUUUGACCUCGGAUCAGGUAGGUAUACCCGCUGAACUUAAGCAUAUCAAUAAGCGGAGGA